This 497-nucleotide ribosomal RNA is filed under the name uncultured bacterium. RNAcentral describes it as "partial 16S ribosomal RNA". It matches the Rfam family "Bacterial small subunit ribosomal RNA", at positions 28 to 507 of the family's 1533-position model. The record is from RNAcentral.
GAUGAACGCUGGCGGCGUGCCUAAUUCAUGCAAGUCGAGCGAACAGACGAGGAGCUUGCUCCUCUGACGUUAGCGGCGGACGGGUGAGUAACACGUGGAUAACUUACCUAUAAGACUGGGAUAACUUCGGGAAACCGGAGCUAAUACCGGAUAAUAUAUUGAACCGCAUGGUUCAAUAGUGAAAGACGGUUUUGCUGUCACUUAUAGAUGGAUCCGCGCCGCAUUAGCUAGUUGGUAAGGUAACGGCUUACCAAGGCAACGAUGCGUAGCCGACCUGAGAGGGUGAUCGGCCACACUGGAACUGAGACACGGUCCAGACUCCUACGGGAGGCAGCAGUAGGGAAUCUUCCGCAAUGGGCGAAAGCCUGACGGAGCAACGCCGCGUGAGUGAUGAAGGUCUUCGGAUCGUAAAACUCUGUUAUUAGGGAAGAACAAAUGUGUAAGUAACUAUGCACGUCUUGACGGUACCUAAUCAGAAAGCCACGGCUAACUACGUG